AGGCGGCGGGGCUGCGCGCUGCGAUAAAAGGCCCGGGCGGCUCGGACGCGUUGCUGUUCAGGGUGCACCCGCGGAGGACGCGGCGAGAACAGCUGUCCGGGUGUCACGUGGAAAGGCGAUGGUCGGCCACUCCCGAGCAGCAGGGCUUCAGGACACGUUGGAGACAAUGACUGCCUGCCUUCCUGCUCCUUGCCUCAGCUUUUCUAUCUGAGCUGACAUCAUAUGGGCUAUGAGAUUAGCAACUAUAUAGAAUUAGUAGUUGCGUAAGGAAACAGCAUCUUCAAAUGAGAAGACUCGUGGAUCUGCAGAAUGAGUUUUUAUUCAGAUGCAAGUUUAGAAAUUUCACUGUUGAAAAUGUCACCACUGAACUACAAAGUAUCACAAAGAGAAAAGGGUGAGUAUACAUAAAUCUGAUUAUGUUUUUCUUUUAAAAAUAACUUCUGUAUUUGAGAUUAAGCCAUAGUCCCCUAGAGGUUUACACAAUUCAUUCUCAUCAGCAAAACUGGAACUCUGAACAAAGGGUUAAAUAAAGCACACAGAAUUCAUGUCAGCCUUUUUUUUUAUAUAUAUGACUGAAAAACUACAAUAAUUAAUUUCUUUUUGAGGGAAG
Long non-coding RNA from Pipra filicauda (Wire-tailed manakin), 610 nucleotides. RefSeq lists it as uncharacterized. The record is from RefSeq and is a predicted model, not a curated record. NCBI's taxonomy places the organism in Eukaryota, Metazoa, Chordata, Aves, Passeriformes, Pipridae. The transcript has 3 exons.